RNAcentral lists this transfer RNA (71 nucleotides) under Daphnia magna. It matches the Rfam family "tRNA". From Rfam's summary of the family: Transfer RNA (tRNA) molecules are approximately 80 nucleotides in length. Their secondary structure includes four short double-helical elements and three loops (D, anti-codon, and T loops). The record is from Rfam by way of RNAcentral. Lineage: Eukaryota; Metazoa; Arthropoda; Branchiopoda; Diplostraca; Daphniidae.
GACUUAUAGCUUAGUGGUAGAGCAUCGGCACUAUACGCCGAAGGAUAAGGGUUUAAAUCCCAAAAGAGUCA